Molecule: long non-coding RNA, 3118 nt
Organism: Oncorhynchus tshawytscha (Chinook salmon)
Lineage: Eukaryota; Metazoa; Chordata; Actinopteri; Salmoniformes; Salmonidae
Source: Ensembl
UAACAUCACCGUCUGUCUGUCUGUCUGUCUGUCUGUCUGUCAAAACCCCAUCAGUUCACUACGACUCAGAGUGGACAUGAUCAAUAGAUAACAUCACCGUCUGUCUGUCUGUCAAGACCCCGUCUGUCAAGACCCCAUCAGUUCACUACAACUCAAAGUGGACAUGAUCAAUAGAUAACAUCACUGUCUGUCUGUCUGUCAGCGUUGGGCUCAAUUCAGACUUGAGUUAAGAAUACUUCUUGAAUUUGAAUUGAAGUAGUAAACAGAAUACAGAAUUGAAAUUUGAAUUUGAAUGAAAGGAAAUAGAAUUGAAUUCAGUGAAAUUCAAAUGCCUCUUGUAUUGUAUAUUAGGUGUAGUCUAUAACUAUAUAUGUUGAAACAGUAGAUUUUUAGGACAAACUAUCUUCCAAUUAAUUAAUGAUCUAGGACAACAAAUCCUGUAUGCAAAUAUUCUGUUUUCAUUAAUCACUUAUUAAUCACACAUAUAUAUAUAUAUAUACUGUAUACACAAAACAUUAGUUUCACCCCUUUUUUCCCUCAGAACAGCCUCAAUUUGUCGGGGCAGGGACUCUACAAGAUAUCAAAUGUGUUCAUCAGGGAUGCUGGCCCAUGUUGUCACAGGGAUGCUGGCCCAUGUUGUCACAGGGAUGCUGGCCCAUGUUGUCACAGGGAUACUGGCCCAUGUUGACUCCAAUGCUUCCCACAGUUGUGUCAAGUUGGCUUGAUGUCCUUUGGGUGAUGGAUCAUUAUUGAUACACACAGAGAAACUGUUGAAUGUGAAAAACCCAGCAGCGUUGCCGUUCUUAACACAAACCAGUACACCUGGCACCUACCACCAUACACAGUUCAGACACUUAAACAUUUAGUCUUGUCCAUUCACCCUCUGAAUGACACACACAAUCCAUGUCUCAAUUGCCAUUCUUUAACCCGUCUCCUCCCCUUCAUCUACACUGAUUGAAGUGGAUUUAACAGGUGACAUCAAUAAGGGAUCAUAUCUUUCACCUGGAUUCACCUGGUCAGUCUGUGUUUAGGAAAGAGCAGGCGUUCCUAAUGUUUUGUGCACUCCGUGUAUAUUGUAAAUGCUAACUGACAGAGUAAUUGUCCCAUAAGUUUUAAAUGAGGUGUUAACAUUUGGUAUUGUUUGUAAACAUUUAAAUAAAAGCUAUUUAGUUCAGUUUUUAAGUUGUAAUGGGGAGGAUCAGUAGUUCAGAGGGCAGGGUGAUCAGUAGUUCAGAGGGCAGGGUGAUCAGUAGUUCAGAGGGCAGGGUGAUCAGUAGUUCAGAGGGCAGGGUGAUCAGUAGCCAGGGUGAUCAGUGGCCAGGGUGAUCAGUAGUUCAGGGGCAGGGUGAUCAGUAGCCAGGGUGAUCAGUGGCCAGGGUGAUCAGUAGUUCAGAGGGCAGGGUGAUCAGUAGUUCAGAGGGCAGGGUGAUCAGUGGCCAGGGUGAUCAGUAGUUCAGAGGGCAGGGUGAUCAGUAGUUCAGAGGGCAGGGUGAUCAGUGGCCAGGGUGAUCAGUAGUUCAGAGGGCAGGGUGAUCAGUAGUUCAGAGGGCAGGGUGAUCAGUAGCCCAGGGUGAUCAGUGGCCAGGGUGAUCAGUAGUUCAGAGGGCAGGGUGAUCAGUAGUUCAGAGGGCAGGGUGAUCAGUAGUUCAGAGGGCAGGGUGAUCAGUAGUUCAGAGGGCAGGGUGAUCAGUAGUUCAGGGGGCAGGGUGAUCAAUAGUUCUGUGGCCUGGGUGAUCAGUAGUUCAGAGGUCAGGGUGACCAGUGGCCAGGGUGAUCAGUAGUUCAGAGAGCAGGGUGAUCAAUAGUUCAGAGAGCAGGGUGAUCAAUAGUUCUGUGGCCAGGGUGAUCAGUAGUUCUGUGGCCAGGGUGAUCAGUAGUUCAGAGGUCAGGGUGAUCAGUAGUUCAGAGGGCAGGGUGAUCAGUAGUUCUGUGGCCAGGGUGAUCAAUAGUUCUGUGGCCAGGGUGAUCAGUAGUUAGAGGUCAGGGUGAUCGGUAGUUCUGAGGUCGGGGUGAUCGGUGGUUCUGUGGUCAGGAUGAUAGGUAGUUCUGAGGUCAGGGUGAUCGGUAGUUCUGUGGUCAGGAUGAUAGGUAGUUCUGAGGUCAAGUCUGGCCAGGGUGAUCAGUAGUUCUGUGGUCAGGAUGAUCAGUAGUUCUGUGGUCAGGGUGAUCAAUAGUUAUGUGGCCAGUGUGAUCAGUAGUUCAGAGGGCAGGGUGAUCAGUAGUUCUGUGGCCAGGGUGAUCAAUAGUUCUGUGGCCAGGGUGAUCAGUAGUUAGAGGUCAGGGUGAUCGGUAGUUCAGAGGUCAGGGUGAUCGGUAGUUCUGAGGUCGGGGUGAUCGGUAGUUCCGGGGGUCGGGUGAUCGGUAAUUCCGGGUCAGGAUGAUCGGUAGUUCUGUGGUCAGGGUGAUCAAUAGUUCUAUGGUCAGGGUGAUCGGUAUUUCAGGGGCCAGGGUGAUCGGUAGUUCAGAGGUCAGGAUGGUCGGUAGGUCUGUGGUCAGGAUGGUAGGUAGUUCUGAGGUCAGGGUGAUCAAUAGUUCGGAGGCCAGGGUGAUCGGUAGUUCGGCGGCCGGGAUGAUCAGUCGUUCUGAGGUCAGGGUGAUCAGUAGUUCGGAGGUCAGGAUGAUCGGUAGUUUGGCGGUCAGGGUGAUCAGUAGUUCUGAGGUCAGGGUGAUCGGUAGUUCUGAGGUCAGGGUGAUCGGUAGUUCUGAGGUCAGGGUGAUCGGUAGUUCUGAGGUCAGGAUGGUCGGUAGUUCUGUGGUCAGGAUGGUAGGUAGUUCUGAGGUCAAGUCUGGCCAGGGUGAUCAAUAGUUAUGUGGCCAGGGUGAUCAGUAGUUAUGUGGCCAGGGUGAUCAGUAGUUAUGUGGCCAGGGUGAUCGGUAGUUAUGUGGCCAGGGUGAUUGGUAGUUCAGAGGUCAGGGUGAUUGGUAGUUCAGAGGUCAGGGUGAUUGGUAGUUCAGAGGUCAGGGUGAUUGGUAGUUCAGAGGUCAGGGUGAUUGGUAGUUCAGAGGUCAGGGUGAUUGGUAGUUCAGAGGUCAGGGUGAUUGGUAGUUCAGAGGUCAGGGUGAUUGGUAGUUCAGAGGUCAGGGUGAUUGGUAGUUCAGAGGUCAGGGUGAUUGGUAU